RNAcentral lists this long non-coding RNA (504 nucleotides) under Androctonus crassicauda. Lineage: Eukaryota; Metazoa; Arthropoda; Arachnida; Scorpiones; Buthidae. The record is from RNAcentral.
GGAGAGGGAGAUCCGGAUCCGUGGCACCUCCGUCCGUUUUCGGAGGGAUCCGCACCCUUGAUGACUCCGUCUGAAUUUUAUUGGAGUAGAGGAUCCAAGACCCUCGCUGACUCUGUCUGAAUUUUUGGUUUCAGUUUGGUACCGAAGCUGCGCGGCGCGUCUGCUUGUUACUUGUUUGACUGUUGGAAUUGUUUGUCUUCUUUGUGACCUGACUGUGGUUUUCUGGACGUGUUGUGUCUGUUAGUGUCUUUUUGACUUUUGUUUCGUGUUUGAAUUUGGACUGACGACUGUGUUUAAAAUCUUGGACCGACGACUGUGUUUGAAAUCAUGAAACUGUUUGCUUUGUUCGUCGAAGAGUUUUACUUGGUCCCCUUAAUGCUUAGUAAGAAACUUAAUCUUAUGGACCCCGCUCUAGUGGCGGUGUGUUGGUUGAUAGCCAAUGUUAAGUUUUUAAAACAUAGUGUUUUAUCUGUGCUUGUGCUCCCAACACACAGUAGGGAGGAG